Molecule: ribosomal RNA, 403 nt
Filed under: Verrucomicrobiota bacterium
Lineage: Bacteria; Pseudomonadati; Verrucomicrobiota
Description: Verrucomicrobia bacterium partial 16S ribosomal RNA
Rfam family: Bacterial small subunit ribosomal RNA
Source: RNAcentral
UGGGGAAUAUUGCACAAUGGGCGCAAGCCUGAUGCAGCAACGCCGCGUGAACGAUGAAGGUCUUCGGAUCGUAAAGUUCUGUUGCAGGGGAAGAUAAUGACGGUACCCUGUGAGGAAGCCCCGGCUAACUACGUGCCAGCAGCCGCGGUAAUACGUAGGGGGCUAGCGUUAUCCGGAUUUACUGGGCGUAAAGGGUGCGUAGGUGGUCUUUCAAGUCGGUGGUUAAAGGCUACGGCUCAACCGUAGUUAGCCUCCGAAACUGGAAGACUUGAGUGCAGGAGAGGAAAGUGGAAUUCCCAGUGUAGCGGUGAAAUGCGUAGAUAUUGGGAGGAACACCGGUGGCGAAGGCGACUUUCUGGACUUUUUCUGACGCUGAGGUACGAAAGCGUGGGGAGCAAACAGG